RNAcentral lists this ribosomal RNA (512 nucleotides) under Nosema bombycis. RNAcentral's name for it is "eukaryotic LSU rRNA". The stretch from base 1 to 296 matches the Rfam family "Archaeal large subunit ribosomal RNA", at positions 2675 to 2987 of the family's 2987-position model. Lineage: Eukaryota; Fungi; Microsporidia; Nosematidae. The record is from RNAcentral.
UGGGUUUAGACCGUCGUGAGACAGGUUAGUUUUACCCUACUGUUUAUAUUAUUAAGAAAAGUUAUAUAGUACGAGAGGAACAAUAAGUGAUGACCUCUGGUGUAGCGAUUAAUUAUUCAAUUAUGUUGCAAAACUACGUCAUGAAUAAUAAAUGCUGAAAGCCUCUUAAGCAUGAAGUUAAUCUUAAUGAUAAACAACUGAGGAAUACUACCUCUCUGAAGAGUGGGACUGUAAGAAUGAAGGUGUAUACCGACAUUUUGAGGUUACCAUUUCGUUCUGUAUAAAAAUACCUUCACGUGGUACAGAAUGUAUUGAUGAUGUUUUUAUCAGUCUAAACAAAAUAAGUAAGUAAAUUAUAUUUUUUUUAUAUUCAUAUUGUGUAUUGUUGUUUUAAUUUUGAUUAUUAUAUUUUAUCAUUUCUUUUUUACCAUUAUUUUCUAGUUGUGUUAUCGUAUUUUCACUUAUAAAUAAGUUGUAAACACCAGGUUGAUUCUGCCUGACGUAGACGCUAU